This is a non-coding RNA of Misgurnus anguillicaudatus (oriental weatherfish), 1745 nucleotides long. NCBI's taxonomy places the organism in Eukaryota, Metazoa, Chordata, Actinopteri, Cypriniformes, Cobitidae. The record is from RefSeq and is a predicted model, not a curated record.
UUUUAGAAUAUAUUAAUUGGCAAAGACGCAAAUACUCGACGUUUUUGUAAACAUAUAAGUUAUAUAAAGGUGUGUUAUGUUAUGUGACCGACUUAAAGUGUGUGUUAUGUUAUGUGUCCGAGUUAAAGUGGAGCUAUUUUAGUUAAGAUAAUACCGGACAGGGUUUAGGACUCCGUCUUAAUUAUAAUUGGGACAUUUUUACAAACAAACCUUAUAAAAUACAAUACUGGCGUGCAUUUUGAGACAAAACAAUAGCACUCAUAUGUUAACAGAUGUCAGUAUUUUAGUCAGUGAUAAGUCCUGUCCGAGAAAACCGCCCAUGUAGUGUUUAAUUCAAUUACGUGUGAUGUCUGAGGGAAAUUUGGCAAUUUUAGGGUAUAAAAUCUUUCACCGUCAAGCUUUAUUAUAUUAAACAUGUUAUUUAUAUAUGUGUGUGUGUUUAUAUUCCUCUGUUUAUUAAACCAGAGCGGUGAUAAUGUGGAGAGGCAUACCAGACCACCACCAUACGCGAAGUUAUUUUUUCAAACUGAGGAGUUCGGACUCCGCACCGGCAUUUCUGCUUGUUUGUACACUGAGAUAACCAUGGUUAAUAAAUGGUCAGACACGUCACUGGCUUUAAAAUAUAAACCCCAUUGAUGCAAAAAGAUGCUGCGUGAAUGACAAUGUGGUUUGGAACAGACUUUGUGAAGAACAUGGAAACAUCUCUUAAUAAAAUGGCCCCAAACAUCAUCAGGAGUGCAAAAGAAGGAAGUAAAAAACAUCUCUACGCCAAUCUCAUUGGAGAGGAAACCACAGAAGGUGCUUGUUCUUUGUCCAGUGUCUGGUGAGGAAUGCUGCACUUAUGUAAUUGCAAGCAUUAUUUCAAGAAAAUCCCAGCUUCCUUGACUGUGUAAAUAGUGAACCCAAAUGUCCCACACCAACCAUAGUGUUCAACGGCUCUCCUGAUCUUCUCAAAUCUGAAAGUAUCAACUUUAUAAUGGACAAUGUGAACUUAAUAUGUGGAAGACAUUGACAUCACAGGCUGUGGAAUGACUGUGUCACAGUUCGGAGAAGCGGACCGCCCCUGUCACGGAUCACGCUCCUCCUAGUUCCACUUCGAGUAGGUCCCAAAGCACCCCAAUGACCAGACAAACCAGAGAUAAGUAAAAUAUAGAAAUAGAAACUUUAUUUAAAUUAUUUAAAACUAAAGUGGGGAAUGGGAAAGGGAAUCUAAAAAUAUCGCUUCUCGCCCUCAAGGGGAGUAUUACGGGGCCAGGGACGUUGGAGGGGUUUCCUUGUGACUCCAGCUGGAACACCGCUACAGAGCGUAUCUGGGUGGGUUGGGCACACACCGUCGCGGCGGCCCCUGAUGGCAUCCACAAAGGUCCAAGACCCUCCUAAGCUCCUAGCCGUAGCAGAACUACGUAUUUCAGCACCCGAAGGACUAACAACCCAGCCGGCAUCUGCAGCGUAUAUCCAACGUGAUCAAACUUCACUCUGACAAGUAACUUCCUAUACACAACCACGCCGUCCUUUCGCCCGGACCAGCCCCGCACUCUUUCCGCCUGCUACCUAGCGGUCGCCGGAUCAGCAGAGCCUGCGGACUCUUCGGAGGCUGGUCUUCGUUGUGCUGCCCAAGGCGGAAGUUGACUCGCCCGAAAAUCGACCCUUCCAGUAACUUCUACCUUCUCUCUUUAUAUCCUCCUCCAUGGCGUGGCUCGCCCAACCAUCGCUUGCCACGUCACUCACACAGCUGUGCGGGGAUU